AUAAGGCCCUUCAAAAAACGGCGAGUGAGCGGCAAGAGCUCAGAUUUGAAAUCGUGCUUUGCGGCACGAGUUGUAAAUUGCAGGUUGGAGUCUGUGUGGAAGGCGGUGUCCAAGUCCCUUGGAACAGGGCGCCCAGGAGGGUGAGAGCCCCGUGGGAUGCCGGCGGAAGCAGUGAGGCCCUUCUGACAACUCGAGUUGUUUGGGAAUGCUGCUCCAAGCGGU
Molecule: ribosomal RNA, 222 nt
Filed under: Hansenula anomala
Lineage: Eukaryota; Fungi; Ascomycota; Saccharomycetes; Phaffomycetales; Wickerhamomycetaceae
Description: Wickerhamomyces anomalus partial 26S ribosomal RNA
Rfam family: Eukaryotic large subunit ribosomal RNA
Source: RNAcentral